GCGGGAAUAGCUCAGUGGUAGAGCACAACCUUGCCAAGGUUGGGGUCGCGGGUUCAACCCCCGUUUCCCGCU
Molecule: transfer RNA, 72 nt
Filed under: bacterium
Lineage: Bacteria
Also listed under: 4 other names
Description: tRNA-Gly
Rfam family: tRNA
About the family: Transfer RNA (tRNA) molecules are approximately 80 nucleotides in length. Their secondary structure includes four short double-helical elements and three loops (D, anti-codon, and T loops).
Source: RNAcentral